ACGGAGGAAGUAGUCCUAGCC
RNAcentral lists this microRNA (21 nucleotides) under Ananas comosus (pineapple). Its description in RNAcentral is "microRNA s0296_c100". The record is from RNAcentral. Lineage: Eukaryota; Viridiplantae; Streptophyta; Magnoliopsida; Poales; Bromeliaceae.